CACGGGGGUUGCGAGCGUUGUCCGGAAUUACUAGGUGUAAAGGGCAGGCAGGCGGAUCCAUAAGUUUAUCGUUUAAGGCGUCGGCUUAACCGGCGUAGGGCGGUAGAUACUGUGGAUCUGGAAUGCGGUUGGGGAAGACAGAAUUCCUGGUGUAGCGGUGGAAUGCGCAGAGAUCAGGAGGAAUACCGAAGGCGAAGGCAGUCUUCCAAGCCGUUAUUGACGCUCAACUGCGAAGGUGUGGGUAUCAAAGAGGAUUAGAUACCCGUGUAGUCCCUGA
Molecule: ribosomal RNA, 277 nt
Filed under: uncultured prokaryote
Description: partial 16S ribosomal RNA
Rfam family: Bacterial small subunit ribosomal RNA
Source: RNAcentral